Alosa alosa (allis shad) is the source of this 945-nucleotide long non-coding RNA. RefSeq lists it as uncharacterized. Lineage: Eukaryota; Metazoa; Chordata; Actinopteri; Clupeiformes; Clupeidae. The record is from RefSeq and is a predicted model, not a curated record. The transcript is spliced from 3 exons.
GUAGCCAAGUCUGGGAGCAGGACCAAGAGAGAAACACCGAGAGAGAGUGAGAGAGAGUGAGAGAGAGAGAGAGAGAGGUAAACAGCCACAGCAAGACUGCGCUGGAAAGCAUAAACCAGGACAAUUCUCCCUUUCCUCUCUCUCUCGUGAGCCAUGCGUGCAUCUGUGUGUGAGCACCCGCGCUGGUGACGCUGGAGAGUUGCUGUGCGUGGUGUGUGGGAGUGCUCACUCCUGACAGGAGUUGUGGGGGGAAUCUGUCCACAGCGCUUGAGCUUGGGAUCGGAGAUCUGUGCUCUGUGGAAGCCCUUCUUUCAGCUUGCUACUGAGUGUGUGAAUGUGUGUGUACGUGUGUGUGUUUUUCUGUUCGAGCUUGAUCGGCUUCCUGCACACGCUUGACAAUGAGAUUAGACCUGCGCAGUGAUUUUUCCGACGGAGUUUUCUCAUCGUGCCAGAGCUGAUCUCUCGCGUGCUGCUGAGCUGCACCUGGAGCGUGCACACCUGGCUGUGAGCCUUCCAAGUGAACGAGCCAAGUGGAUGACAACAACUCCAAACCAAAAACACAAACAUUUAAAGUCUUUACCUCUUUACCAAAGGAUAUUUUUCUGAUUUUUGAUUCCUGCCAAAAACAAACAAGAUUUCUCCACUGAACUGUGGGGAGAAAACUCUAGAUUGCAACUGGAGAAAACAAGACACCAACUAACUACAUGAGAGGUUUAGAGGACAGAGAGGCUUAUCACUGACCUUCCACCUUCAGCCGUGAUCCAAACAAAUUACUAUUUCCCUGCCCUCCCACCUUCUCUUCAUCUGCUGACUUUCAGGAGGCGUCCUGAUGAGAGGAUGCAGCAGAGAACCAGCGUGAGACCAAGCCCUACGUGAACAGUGCCCCCCCUCCCUCCUCCUCCCCUCCUUCCUUCACCUCUCACUCAUCCGUCCAGCUCACGUAGC